RNAcentral lists this long non-coding RNA (683 nucleotides) under Rattus norvegicus (Norway rat). RNAcentral describes it as "long non-coding RNA NONRATT010919". Lineage: Eukaryota; Metazoa; Chordata; Mammalia; Rodentia; Muridae. The record is from RNAcentral.
UUCCAGAGGAGAUUAUCGGUGGUGUGGAGUCUAUUCCUCACUCCCGCCCUUACAUGGCCCAUCUGGACAUCGUCACUGAAGUUGAAGGAGAAAGCCAAGCUAACCCUAGGCGUGGGAACCCUCCCACUCUCGGCCAACUUCAACUUCAUUCCACCCGGGAGAAUGUGCAGGGCAGUUGGCUGGGGCAGAACAAACGUGAAUGAACCAGCCUCUGACACACUGCAGGAAGUAAAGAUGAGACUCCAGGAGCCCCAAUCCUGCAAACACUUCACCAGUUUUCAACACAAGUCCCAGUUGUGUGUGGGCAACCCCAAGAAGAUGCAAAAUGUAUACAAGGGAGACUCUGGAGGACCUCUCCUGUGUGCUGGGAUAGCCCAAGGCAUUGCAUCCUACGUACAUCCGAAUGCAAAGCCCCCUGCUGUCUUCACCAGAAUCUCCCAUUACAGACCCUGGAUCAAUAAGAUCUUGAGGGAGAAUUAACUCUGGAUCUCGGGCCAGUGUGUGAGGAAAUCUGGAGCUGGAAUCGUGCAGGUUUUCUGUGACAUGUGGGAUCUGGCCUGUCUGUAGUUCCUGCUGAAGCCCUUCCUGAUCCCUGAGCUUCCAGAAGGUUCUUACAAGUCACAGAAAGUUCCUAAAAGUCACCAUCUUCAUAAACCUCAAUAAAGAGCCAGAUCCUAGACUGC